This 458-nucleotide ribosomal RNA is filed under the name uncultured bacterium. Its description in RNAcentral is "partial 16S ribosomal RNA". It matches the Rfam family "Bacterial small subunit ribosomal RNA", at positions 338 to 795 of the family's 1533-position model. The record is from RNAcentral.
CCUACGGGUGACAGCAGUGGGGAAUAUUGCACAAUGGGGGAAACCCUGAUGCAGCGACGCCGCGUGAGUGAAGAAGUAAUUCGUUACGUAAAGCUCUAUCAGCAGGGAAGAAAUACUGACCUUACGAUCAGCAGACGGUACCUGAGUAAUAAUCCCCGGCUAACUACUUGCCAGCAGCCGCCGUAAUACGUAGGGCGCAAGCGUUAUCCGUUUUUACUGGGUGUAAAGGGAGCGUAGACGGUGCGCCAAGUCUGGAGUGAAAUGCCGCAGCUUAACUGCGGAACUGCUUUGGAAACUGGCGAACUAGAGUGAGGGAGUGGUAAGCGGAAUUCCUAGUGUAGCGGUGAAAUGCGUAGAUAUAAGGAGGAACACCAGUGGCGAAGGCGGCUUACUGGACCGUAACUGACGUUGAGGCUCGAAAGCGUGGGGAGCAAACAGGAUUAGAUACCCCUGUAGUC